CCUACGGGAGGCAGCAGUAGGGAAUAUUGCUCAAUGGGGGAAACCCUGAAGCAGCAACGCCGCGUGGAGGAUGAAGGUCUUCGGAUUGUAAACCCCUUUUGUUAGAGAAGAAAAUGACGGUAUCUAACGAAUAAGCACCGGCUAACUCCGAGUCAGCAGCCGCGGUAAUACGGAGGGUGCAAGCGUUACUCGGAAUCACUGGGCGUAACGAGCGCGUAGGCGGGAUAGCAAGUCCGAUGUGAAAUCCUAUGGCUUAACCAUAGAACUGCAUUUGAAACUGUUAUUCUAGAGUAUGGGAGAGGUAGGUGGAAUUCUUGGUGUAGAGGUAAAAUGCGUAGAGAUCAAGAGGAAUACUCAUUGCGAAGGCGACCUGCUGGAACAUAACUGACGCUGAUGCGCGAAAGCGUGGGGAUCAAACAGGAUUAGAUACCCCAGUAGUC
RNAcentral lists this ribosomal RNA (440 nucleotides) under uncultured bacterium. Its description in RNAcentral is "partial 16S ribosomal RNA". It matches the Rfam family "Bacterial small subunit ribosomal RNA", at positions 338 to 795 of the family's 1533-position model. The record is from RNAcentral.